CCUACGGGAGGCAGCAGUGGGGAAUAUUGGGCAAUGGGCGAAAGCCUGACCCAGCAACGCCGCGUGAAGGAAGAAGGCUUUCGGGGUGUAAACUUCUUUUGACAGGGAAGAGAAGAAGACGGUACCUGUCGAAUAAGCCACGGCUAACUACGUGCCAGCAGCCGCGGUAAUACGUAGGUGGCAAGCGUUGUCCGGAUUUACUGGGUGUAAAGGGCGUGUAGCCGGGCUGACAAGUCAGAUGUGAAAUCCGGGGGCUCAACCCCCGAACUGCAUUUGAAACUGUUGGUCUUGAGUAUCGGAGAGGCAGGCGGAAUUCCUAGUGUAGCGGUGAAAUGCGUAGAUAUUAGGAGGAACACCAGUGGCGAAGGCGGCCUGCUGGACGACAACUGACGGUGAGGCGCGAAAGCGUGGGGAGCAAACAGGAUUAGAUACCCGGGUAGUC
RNAcentral lists this ribosomal RNA (442 nucleotides) under uncultured bacterium. RNAcentral describes it as "partial 16S ribosomal RNA". It matches the Rfam family "Bacterial small subunit ribosomal RNA", at positions 338 to 795 of the family's 1533-position model. The record is from RNAcentral.